GACGAACGCUGGCGGCGUGCUUAACACAUGCAAGUCGAACGGAAAGGCCUGCUUUCCCUUGUGGAUUGCGGGUACUCGAGUGGCGAACGGGUGAGUAACACGUGAGUGAUCUGCCCCCAACUUGGGUAUAAGCCUGGGAAACUGGGUCUAAUUCCCGAUAGGACUGCAGGGUGGUGCCUGUGGUGGAAAACGAUUUUCUAGUGGUUGGGGAUGAGCUCGCGGCCUAUCAGCUUGUUGGUGGGGUAAUGGCCUACCAAGGCGGCGACGGGUAGCCGGCCUGAGAGGGUGGACGGGCACAUUGGGACUGAGAUACGGCCCAGACUCCGACGGGAGGCAGCAGUGGGGAAUAUUGCACGAUGGGCGGAAGCCUGAUGCAGCGACGCCGCGUGGGGGAUGACGGCCUUCGGGUUGUAAACUCCUUUCGACCGCGAGGAAGCCACCUGGUUGGAAGGGUGGUGACGGUAGUGGUAGAAGAAGCACCGGCUAACUACGUG
RNAcentral lists this ribosomal RNA (494 nucleotides) under uncultured bacterium. RNAcentral's name for it is "partial 16S ribosomal RNA". It matches the Rfam family "Bacterial small subunit ribosomal RNA", at positions 28 to 507 of the family's 1533-position model. The record is from RNAcentral.